GAACCCUUGAGGAGUCGUUGGUAAUCCAGAACACUGAACCUAGAUCAUAUGGUAAACCUGCACUUAUACUUAUAACAAACAGGAGACAUCUGUAGUCCUCUCGCGGUAAUUGCUAUGAGCAUAUCUACUCACCUACGGUCAUCCCAAAACCAAAAUUCUAGUUCUUUUUUGAAGUCAAUCUGUGUCACAGACUACAAGUUCAGAAGAUGGUAAUCCAAAAAUAUCAGGACAUUCAUUGCUGGGAGGAAACAUUCUUAUCAGAACAGUCAUAUACUACAACUCAUAUUUAAUCGGAGAUGCUCAUACCUCUGCUCCCCCAAGUACGCAGCAACGGCACCUAGACAACACUGUAAUCGGCCGUCGGCGUAGGGGACCAAGGGAAACAGGCCCUCCCGGGUGCGGCGUGCGUCGCUAGGAGGAGGCAGCAGGAGGGGGACGGCCGGGCCCGUGCUAGGCGCGGCGCGCGUCGCCGGGAGCAGGCAACUGGAGGAGGCGGCCGGGGGUGUACUUGGCGUGGCGCAGGAAGGCGGCUGGAGGAGCGCGACGGCCGAGCGCAUAGCCGGGAGGAGGAGCGCGGUGGCCCUUCCCCAUCGGGGCGGCGGCGGCUGGGCGACCCCUGCUCCAGCUCAUAGAAAGAGGAGGGAGGAGGCGGUGGCGCUGCUGGUCUAGCUCCCCGGCUUGAUCUGCUCUCCAGGCUUGUCCGGUCCGCCGCUCACCUCGACCUCCCGUGCUCCUGCUUCACGGGAUUUGGUGGACGAGGAAAAGAGGAUAAGGGAAGGCUUUUUUUCUCCGAG
Molecule: ribosomal RNA, 794 nt
Filed under: Triticum aestivum (bread wheat)
Lineage: Eukaryota; Viridiplantae; Streptophyta; Magnoliopsida; Poales; Poaceae
Description: partial small subunit ribosomal RNA
Source: RNAcentral